Molecule: ribosomal RNA, 891 nt
Filed under: Lachnum controversum
Lineage: Eukaryota; Fungi; Ascomycota; Leotiomycetes; Helotiales; Lachnaceae
Description: partial large subunit ribosomal RNA
Rfam family: Eukaryotic large subunit ribosomal RNA
Source: RNAcentral
AAUAGCGGAGAAAAGAAACCAACAGGGAUUACCUCAGUAACGGCGAGUGAAGCGGUAACAGCUCAAAUUUGAAAUCUGGCUCUUUCAGGGUCCGAGUUGUAAUUUGUAGAAGAUGCUUUGGGUGUGGCCCGGGUCUAAGUUCCUUGGAACAGGACGUCAUAGAGGGUGAGAAUCCCGUAUGUGACUCGGCGCCUUCGCCCGUGUAAAGCUCUUUCGACGAGUCGAGUUGUUUGGGAAUGCAGCUCAAAAUGGGUGGUAAAUUUCAUCUAAAGCUAAAUAUUGGCCGGAGACCGAUAGCGCACAAGUAGAGUGAUCGAAAGAUGAAAAGCACUUUGGAAAGAGAGUUAAACAGUACGUGAAAUUGUUGAAAGGGAAGCGCUUGCAACCAGACUUAGUUGCUGUCGAUCAUCUCGGGUUCUCCCGGGUGCACUCGGCAGUGUCUAGGCCAGCAUCGGUUUGGGUGGUGGGAUAAAGGCCUUGGGAAUGUAGCUUCUUUCGGGGAGUGUUAUAGCCCUCGGUGCAAUGCCGCCUACCCGGACCGAGGACCGCGCUUCGGCUAGGAUGCUGGCGUAAUGGUUGUAAGCGACCCGUCUUGAAACACGGACCAAGGAGUCUAACAUCUAUGCGAGUAUUUGGGUGUCAAACCCAUAUGCGUAAUGAAAGUGAACGGAGGUGAGAACCCUUAAGGGUGCAUCAUCGACCGAUCCUGAUGUCUUCGGAUGGAUUUGAGUAAGAGCAUAGCUGUUGGGACCCGAAAGAUGGUGAACUAUGCCUAAAUAGGGUGAAGCCAGAGGAAACUCUGGUGGAGGCUCGCAGCGGUUCUGACGUGCAAAUCGAUCGUCAAAUUUGGGUAUAGGGGCGAAAGACUAAUCGAACAUCUAGAGCUGGUCC